Molecule: ribosomal RNA, 369 nt
Filed under: Triticum aestivum (bread wheat)
Lineage: Eukaryota; Viridiplantae; Streptophyta; Magnoliopsida; Poales; Poaceae
Description: partial small subunit ribosomal RNA
Source: RNAcentral
AUGACUUGGAGCAAACUCCACGUAAUCCUGACAUGCAGUGAUGAUGGUGUGCACAGUGAGCAAACAAAGAAGCUUAUUACUGAUGUACUCCUGCACAAAGCUUACCCAGCACAUGAGCAAGGCACUAUUGAGGCAGACACAACAACCCGUUCACAAGUUCCACAGCGAGCUUACAGGCUUAAACCAAUCAAAGUGGUUGAAUUCGACCGGCCCUGCCCACAGGUCAUUGUUUACUUGGAUCUAACACAUGAGGAAUGCUCCCGACUCUUCCCAACCGGAAACAUUUGGCACACUUGUUCCAUCUUGCUGGACAAAGAUUUCUUUCUCAUAACAAACUGUCAAAUGGAUACACCUCUGGCCUCUUUAUAG